RNAcentral lists this ribosomal RNA (303 nucleotides) under uncultured Dinobryon. Its description in RNAcentral is "partial Eukaryotic large subunit ribosomal RNA". It matches the Rfam family "Eukaryotic large subunit ribosomal RNA", at positions 1737 to 2040 of the family's 3401-position model. The record is from RNAcentral. Lineage: Eukaryota; Chrysophyceae; Chromulinales.
GGAGCUAAGGUUCAAUGGCGGGCAGAGUACAACACCUUUGUUGUAUCCGGUGCGUCCUCGACAGUCCUUGAAAAACCGACGGAACAUAUUACUCUCUCGCCUGGUCGUACUCAUAACCGCAGCAGGUCUCCAAGGUGAACAGCCUCUGGCCAAUGGAACAAUGUAGGCAAGGGAAGUCGGCAAAACGGAUCCGUAACUUCGGGAAAAGGAUUGGCUCUGAGGACUGGGCUCGGGGGUCCCGGCCUCGAACCCGUCGGCUGUCGGCGGAUUGCUCGAGCUGCUCACGCGGCGAGAGCGGGUCGC